Molecule: ribosomal RNA, 478 nt
Filed under: uncultured bacterium
Lineage: Bacteria
Description: partial 16S ribosomal RNA
Rfam family: Bacterial small subunit ribosomal RNA
Source: RNAcentral
GACGAACGCUGGCGGCGUGCUUAACACAUGCAAGUCGAACGGGAUUUAGUAGACAGAAGCCUCGGCUAAAGAUUACUAAUGAGAGUGGCGAACGGGUGAGUAACGCGUGAGCAACCUGCCUAUGACAGUGGGAUAGCCUCGGGAAACCGGGAUUAAUACCGCAUAAAAUCGUAGAAACACAUGUUUUAACGGUCAAAGAUUUAUCGGUCAUAGAUGGGCUCGCGUCUGAUUAGCUAGUUGGUGAGAUAACAGCCCACCAAGGCGACGAUCAGUAGCCGGUCUGAGAGGAUCAACGGCCACAUUGGAACUGAGACACGGUCCAAACUCCUACGGGAGGCAGCAGUGGGGAAUAUUGCACAAUGGGGGAAACCCUGAUGCAGCGACGCCGCGUGAACGAAGAAGGUAUUCGUAUCGUAAAGUUCUGUCCUAUGGGAAGAUAAUGACAGUACCAUAGAAGAAAGCUCCGGCUAAAUACGUG